UACAGAGGGGGCAAGCGUUGUUCGGAAUUACUGGGCGUAAAGGGCGCGUAGGCGGCCUGUUAAGUCGAACGUGAAAUCCCCGGGCUCAACCCGGGAACUGCGUCCGAUACUGGCAGGCUUGAAUUCGGGAGAGGGAUGUGGAAUUCCAGGUGUAGCGGUGAAAUGCGUAGAUAUCUGGAGGAACACCGGUGGCGAAGGCGGCAUCCUGGACCGAUAUUGACGCUGAUGCGCGAAAGCCAGGGGAGCAAAAGGG
Molecule: ribosomal RNA, 253 nt
Filed under: uncultured bacterium
Lineage: Bacteria
Description: partial 16S ribosomal RNA
Rfam family: Bacterial small subunit ribosomal RNA
Source: RNAcentral